This 497-nucleotide ribosomal RNA is filed under the name uncultured bacterium. Its description in RNAcentral is "partial 16S ribosomal RNA". It matches the Rfam family "Bacterial small subunit ribosomal RNA", at positions 28 to 507 of the family's 1533-position model. The record is from RNAcentral.
GAUGAACGCUGGCGGCGUGCCUAAUACAUGCAAGUCGAGCGAACGGACGAGAAGCUUGCUUCUCUGAUGUUAGCGGCGGACGGGUGAGUAACACGUGGAUAACCUACCUAUAAGACUGGGAUAACUUCGGGAAACCGGAGCUAAUACCGGAUAAUAUUUUGAACCGCAUGAUUCAAAAGUGAAAGACGGUCUUGCUGUCACUUAUAGAUGGAUCCGCGCUGCAUUAGCUAGUUGGUAAGGUAACGGCUUACCAAGGCAACGAUGCAUAGCCGACCUGAGAGGGUGAUCGGCCACACUGGAACUGAGACACGGUCCAGACUCCUACGGGAGGCAGCAGUAGGGAAUCUUCCGCAAUGGGCGAAAGCCUGACGGAGCAACGCCGCGUGAGUGAUGAAGGUCUUCGGAUCGUAAAACUCUGUUAUUAGGGAAGAACAUAUGUGUAAGUAACUGUGCACACCUUGACGGUACCUAAUCAGAAAGCCACGGCUAGCUACGUG